This 468-nucleotide ribosomal RNA is filed under the name uncultured Pelotomaculum sp. RNAcentral's name for it is "bacterial SSU rRNA". It matches the Rfam family "Bacterial small subunit ribosomal RNA", at positions 916 to 1381 of the family's 1533-position model. The record is from RNAcentral. Lineage: Bacteria; Bacillati; Bacillota; Clostridia; Eubacteriales; Desulfotomaculaceae.
GACGGGGCCCGCACAAGCGGUGGAGCAUGUGGUUAAUUCGAAGCAACGCGAAGAACCUUACAGGCUUGACAUCCCCUGACCGCGUAUGAAAGUACGUUUUCACCCUCGGGUGACAGGGAGACAGGUGGUGCAUGGUUGUCGUCAGCUCGUGUCGUGAGAUGUUGGGUUAAGUCCCGCAACGAGCGCAACCCCUACGUUUAGUUGCUAACGCGUGAAGGCGAGCACUCUAGACGAACUGCCGUUGACAAAACGGAGGAAGGUGGGAUGACGUCAAAUCAUCAUGCCCCUUAUGUUCUGGGCUACACACGUGCUACAAUGGCCGGUACAGACGGACGCAAAGCCGCGAGGUGGAGCAAAUCCUAAAAAGCCGGUCUCAGUUCGGAUUGCAGGCUGCAAUUCGCCUGCAUGAAGUCGGAAUCGCUAGUAAUCGCAGGUCAGCAUACUGCGGUGAAUACGUUCCCGGGCCUU